GCCAAACUGUUUCAUAUCCCUCAUUUUAUUUCAAAGGCCGGCCUUCUUCCACAUCUGCCCUAUCCAGUGUGCUCUGAGCCCCUGGUGUGCUGAAUCCUAAGAGAAGUACCCGAUCCCUGAGAGCAGAAUGGGAGCAUAUUUAAUGUCAGUGGACUGAGAUGGGGCAAGUGACAGAUACUGGCCCAGCCCAAGGUGCAGUGGGCAAGAUGUUGAGAAUUUUCCCCAGAAAUUGAUACCAGUGUGCAGCAAGCCUACUUCACAAUGUAGCUAAAG
This is a non-coding RNA of Peromyscus maniculatus bairdii (prairie deer mouse), 273 nucleotides long. NCBI's taxonomy places the organism in Eukaryota, Metazoa, Chordata, Mammalia, Rodentia, Cricetidae. The record is from RefSeq and is a predicted model, not a curated record.